RNAcentral lists this ribosomal RNA (530 nucleotides) under uncultured Nitrososphaerota archaeon. Its description in RNAcentral is "bacterial SSU rRNA". It matches the Rfam family "Archaeal small subunit ribosomal RNA", at positions 451 to 981 of the family's 1478-position model. The record is from RNAcentral. Lineage: Archaea; Thermoproteati; Nitrososphaerota.
UCUGGUGUCAGCCGCCGCGGUAAAACCAGCACCUCGAGUGGUCAGGAGGUUUAUUGGGCCUAAAGCAUCCGUAGCCGGUUGUUUAAGUUUUCGGUUAAAUCUAUGCGCUUAACGUAUAGGCUGCCGAAAAUACUGGACAGCUAGGGAGUGGGAGAGGUACACGGUACUCAAUAGGAAGGGGUAAAAUCCUUUGAUCUGUUGAUGACCACCUGUGGCGAAGGCGGUGUACCAGAACACGUUCGACGGUGAGGGAUGAAAGCUGGGGGAGCAAACCGGAUUAGAUACCCGGGUAGUCCCAGCUGUAAACGAUGCAAACUCGGUGAUGCAUUGGCUUGUGGCCAAUGCAGUGCCGCAGGGAAGCCGUUAAGUUUGCCGCCUGGGAAGUACGUACGCAAGUAUGAAACUUAAAGGAAUUGGCGGGGGAGCACCACAAGGGGUGAAGCCUGCGGUUCAAUUGGAGUCAACGCCAGAAAUCUUACCCGGAGCGACAGCAGAAUGAAGGUCAAGCUGAAGACUUUACCAGACAAGCU